RNAcentral lists this ribosomal RNA (285 nucleotides) under Bacillus sp. CM15.1. RNAcentral describes it as "partial 16S ribosomal RNA". It matches the Rfam family "Bacterial small subunit ribosomal RNA", at positions 86 to 357 of the family's 1533-position model. The record is from RNAcentral. Lineage: Bacteria; Bacillati; Bacillota; Bacilli; Caryophanales; Bacillaceae.
CUGAUGUUAGCGGCGGACGGGUGAGUAACACGUGGGUAACCUGCCUGUAAGACUGGGAUAACUCCGGGAAACCGGGGCUAAUACCGGAUGGUUGUUUGAACCGCAUGGUUCAAACAUAAAAGGUGGCUUCGGCUACCACUUACAGAUGGACCCGCGGCGCAUUAGCUAGUUGGUGAGGUAACGGCUCACCAAGGCAACGAUGCGUAGCCGACCUGAGAGGGUGAUCGGCCACACUGGGACUGAGACACGGCCCAGACUCCUACGGGAGGCAGCAGUGGUCAUAGC